RNAcentral lists this ribosomal RNA (255 nucleotides) under Heyndrickxia ginsengihumi. RNAcentral describes it as "partial 16S ribosomal RNA". It matches the Rfam family "Bacterial small subunit ribosomal RNA", at positions 71 to 317 of the family's 1533-position model. The record is from RNAcentral. Lineage: Bacteria; Bacillati; Bacillota; Bacilli; Caryophanales; Bacillaceae.
AUGAAGAGCUUGCUUUUGAUCAGUUAGCGGCGGACGGGUGAGUAACACGUGGGUAACCUGCCUGUAAGACUAGGAUAACUCCGGGAAACCGGGGCUAAUACUGGAUAACUUUUCUCUCCGCAUGGAGAGAGAUUGAAAGAUGGCUUCGGCUAUCACUUACAGAUGGACCCGCGGCGCAUUAGCUAGUUGGUGAGGUAACGGCUCACCAAGGCAACGAUGCGUAGCCGACCUGAGAGGGUGAUCGGCCACAUUGGG